Molecule: long non-coding RNA, 5581 nt
Filed under: Arabidopsis lyrata
Lineage: Eukaryota; Viridiplantae; Streptophyta; Magnoliopsida; Brassicales; Brassicaceae
Description: long non-coding RNA (ALYR_LNC001050)
Source: RNAcentral
GAUAAACGCAGCGCCAUUAUACUCUUGCACCAUUCUGAUAGAUUCGAUAUCUCCAUAAACGCUGAGACAAUCUCGCAGGUCCUCCUCAACGAGUGUCGUCCUGCUCAGUCGCUUGACGUAAAGCAUCUUCACGGUGGGAUCCUCUGGUGGACAUGCAGGCAUGUUACCGUUUUUCAUCAUGAACGCAACUAGUUCUGGAUUGUCUGAACUGUUAAAACAUGACAAAGAAAGAAUAAUUCAUCAUGUAUGUAUGUAUGUGAUGCAGAAACAUAUGUAUGCUCAAGAGAGUUUUUUGCAUUCACAAUCGAAAUCAGGCAGUGCAGAUAACCCAAAUCUCAUAAUCCAAUUCUUUUAGCUUCUAUAACAAUAUUCAAUUACUUUAUAUCAUCACUACCAACCAAACGCACAAAACCUGUAAAUCUAGCAGAAACAACAAAAGAAGAAAAAGAGGGAUUUGUGUCUGCUUGCAAUCUAUAUAUCCUUCAGCUGCUCCAAAUGUCAAAAUACAUCGUAAUUUAUAUAGCCCAUCCCUAUUCUAUUCACCCAUCAUUGGACCCAUACACGUAAGGAACACGGUGCUUAAGACUUGUGGGACUUGUGCGGAGCUGUGCUCACUUCGCACAAGCUCCACCAACAACGGGAAGAAAUUCGGUGCAUACCUCUUGAAUGAAUCUCUUUCCAGUCCCCUCAGUGUCUUCAACACUGUAACUACUAGCGGAGAUCUCGCUGCUGCUUCUUCCUUCGAUGCUGUUCCCAUGGGUAGAAUCCAGUUUUUAGGCUGCCUGGUCUCUUCCAACUCGGCACCUCCCUGAAACAACGUGCAUUUCAGGUACACCUUCAGUAUUUUCACACACACUGUGAUCAGUUCAGACUCUAUGUUUAGCUCCAAGGACACUCCUGGAUUGUAUGUCAGUAGGUCUUGGAGAACAUCCAGGUAGUUCUGGUGCGUGUCAUUUUCGAAAUGAAGCAUGGGAGGUUCGGAUAGCUCCAGGAUAGAGCAUGCCCUCCUCAGUUUCUUCUGCAGUAUCAAAUCAGAAUUUAGCUGGUGGGCGUGUGAUGACAACGAAGAGAGUAUAUCCAGUAUAACUGUGACGUGUGAUGCCAACAAUGACUGCUGAUGGAUUCGGCAGAGAUCAGUCACUACUUGAAAACAGGAGCAAAAAAAUAGACGAAUGAGAGAUGGAUGGCUUUAGAUCAAUUAUUCUGGAGCCAAUAUGGUAAAGUAAAACAUACAACAAUUUGUACAUACCUGAACAACUUGCAACUGGACGGUUAUGUGACUCUUUGUUCUUGAAACAACAUAAGACAUAAUUUGCAGGCUGUCCUCGUCCACAUCGUCUUCAUUACUAAAGUCCUGAUCAGACAAUGUUUCCUCAUCUGGAAUGUCAUCUACGAUUCUCAGUAUUUUUAUGAAGCUAGACAAUGUCAAUGAAGCAGCUUCUUUCACAGCCAAAAAAAUCUCCUUCCACUCAUCUUCUGAGAAACUGCCACCCAGUUCGUCCGCUAGCCACAGCAACGCACCCACUCCAGCUACUGUAGGACCCUGAGCUGGACUUCUUAUGAGACCAGCGAGUAAAGAUACUACACUUGAAAGUUGGGACCUUAUAACAGUAAAAAAGCUGACAAAUAGGUCCACCAGAGACUGUGCCGCCAUAGCUGAAGUUUCAGCAUCCCAAGAAGCUUCGUUAGGACGUGGAGAAAAUGUGGAUGGCGAUGAACUCUAUUCAUCUUUAGAAAGCAUAUCAUUCUCGCCCCACACACUGUUAAAUAUAGGAUAGAUAACAUAACUGAAAACGCCCAUCCAGAAUGUUCGUGAAAACAGAUGCCCAUGAUCGUUUAAAAUAUUAAAGAGCACUUCCAAGGAGCUUUUAUGAAUUGCUGAUCUCGAAUCAGAAGUUAGUUUAGACAAUCCUGUGACAACAAUAAAAAAAAUUUGAUUAGAAUACAGGGAACUGUUCUUUCCUAACUUCCAAGCAAAUCAAUAUCAACCAAGUUGAAAGAAUUAUCAAUGAAAUAUGUGAAUACGAAAAUUGUAAGGUGCCCAGAAAUAUCUGUGAUGCAUUUCAAUCGAGAUUUUAUUCACAGAUUAAGAAAAUAUAUCAGAUUACCUAUGAGCAAAGGAACCCAAUAUGAUAUGUUCUCAUCUGCUUCCAUAAAAUUUUGGGAAGUUGGUGUAUGAUCAUCUGUGACUGGAGUACCGGGACUGCUAGACCUACCCUUCUCAUUCCACACAAGGCCUCCCUCUGCAAGUUUUAGAGCACAAAACCGUAGGAACGCGAUAGCAUUCAGGCUAACAUCGCUCGUAAACUUACUGUUUGUGAAAGUUAUAAGGCAUCUAACACAAUCAGUAAAAGUUGUUGCCUCCGUCUCUGUGAUAUAUGAAAAAUACUCUCGGACAAUUUUUUCCAUUGUCUCAAAGGCCAACAAUACAAUGUUCUUCCUUUCAUCAGCUGCUGCAAUUGUGAAAACCUGAAAGGUAAUUGACCACUCAUUAAAACAUGUCGACCACUAGAGCAUGUCUUCGAAUAUGAACUUAGACAAACAGAUAAACUACUUAGCACAAUAUCUCGGAUUUGUGAAGCAAACUUGGAGUGUUUGAUAGAGGAGAGACCCCAAAAGCAGGCUCACCAGCUUUCCAAAAGUAACGAGCGUCUGUUGAUGCAGGGAAUAUCUCAGGCUUACUAGUCUUAUCUCUAGCGUCCUUCACAGCCUUUUCCAAGAUCCUCCAAAACGGAUUUGAAUCAUCUGCUGCUGUAAGGACAUGUUGCGCGAUGCAGGUGCCCAUGCCCAUUCCGGAUGAAUCAAAGUUCACAAUUUUGUUUUCAAGGUUCCGAUUACAUUUGAGGGCAAUCUAGCUAAAAGUGCGGUUCAAUAUUUAAAGAAUGAUGAUCAGAUUCUUAUUUUUGGGAAGCUGAUUGAGCUACACAAAUAGCUUCACAUAAAUAAGAAUCCAAUCAUCUUUCUUUAAAUGUUGAGCCGCACUUUUAGCUAUUGCCAUCAAAUGUAAUCGGAACCUGAAAACAAAUUUUUGAACUUUGAUUCAUCUGGAAAAUUACCUUCAUUGAGCACUAGUGCUAUUGUUCCGCUCGAAGUGAUAGUCUAGACUGGUCUGCGUUGUUGAUAGAGCUGAGCCACGAGAUGCAAAAGCUACAAAGCUUUCAGUAAAGAUUGAAUCAACAAAGGUUGUGCAACUCUAAGAUGUAAUGAUAUGUAUUGAACCAACAUCAUUCAUAUAGGGAAGGAUUCAUUUGAGAUUAUUGUAAUGUGACAUAUAUGCCCAUAUCCUAUAAAGAAAAUUAUAAGAAUGAUUAUUGUUUUACCUUUAGCUUAGAAUCCUUGGAGAAGACAAAGCUAAAUCUGAUAGCAUGGCCUGGCUCAAACAACCAUCCUACUGAAAAUACCCUUUCUCCGUCGUUGCUUUCUUGAUGUGAGCAUCACAGUACCAAUCACUUUCUUGCCAGUAACUUGUUGAAUACAACCCUGAACAUUCUCACAAUCAUAAACCACCUAAUCAAUCAUUGAAUGGUUGUAUACACUGGAAUCAGAGGACUGAAAGCUAGUAGAACUCUCCAAGAACCGGUUACAACUGAAGCUGCUGUGGUAGGUGUAGAGGCAAAGGUAGAGCUACGAGCUGAUCACCAUCCUGAAGGGACCAUCCCAAUAACACCUCCGUCUCUGCUAAGUUGAUAACCCUCACACGAGACACCUUGUCGUUUGGAUUGAUGAGACAAUGCUCAACCUCUAGCUGGUUACUAUUGUUCUUCCCCAGAGGCCACACAGCAACAUAGGAGCCAAUGAAAGAAUACGAAUAGGCUAACGCAGAACCAAUGCUCCUCUCGUCAAUGCAGUAACGAGUGGCUGCAUCAUCAGGCUGAGCAAGAGUGGGACACUGCGUUUGCCAAUCGAACACCUUCACUUCCCAUUCUCUAUAAGCUUCUGGAACCACUGAUAGUUCAAUCGGUUUCCCUUCCCGUGAAAAAUCUGCUCCGAAACCGUCCCAUUCGCCAGAAACAUUUUGAGCGAAAUCAGACAAGGCUACACAAACAGAGACACUGUUAAUUCUCCGGGGAGGCUCAAUCAAAAUCAGGAAUCGAGGGAGAGGUAUAGAGCUUACGAUUGUAAUCAGAGGAAGGCUGGCUCUGCGCGAGGGCAACAUUCGAGGAGAUUUCAGCUGAGCAAGAAAUAGGGGAAAUUCUGGUUCUGUUCAUCAUAAACACUAAAAUGGAAGAGAAGGGAGAGACGAGAGAUUUGAAAGAAGGCGGAGGUCGAGACGGUGGUAUGGGUGUACGGUUCCUCCAUAAGAGGGAGUUUCCGGCGGAAUAUAACAUCGGAGCCGUCGUCAUUUGAUCUCAGAAAAAGAGUGAUCGUGUUUUAAAGGGAGAUAAAGUGUUUUUUAGGCUCAUAAUAGGCGGCCCAAAAUCUUUAUUUGGCCCAAACAUAUUAAACCGGGUCCGUACAAAUUAAUUAAAAAUCCGGCUAUUGGGACACGGUUCGCACACGGUUUAGACACGGUUUGGCACACAAAUCGAGGUCGAUUUAUGUGGAUUAUCAUGUAAAACGGGGCCUGUUUUGCGUGGGUCCGUUUUUCGUUGACCCGUGUCCGUUUUGCGUUGACCCGUGUUGACUUUGACUUUUUUCCAAACCGUCUCUGAUUUUAUAAAGAUAUAGCCCAUUUUGGGCGGUCCAAAACCUAAUUUGGCCUACGCAUAUUAAACCGUAUCGGUAUAAAAGCGGUUAAAAUUAGGCUAUUUGGACACCGUUCAACCGGUUUUUUUUUUCCAGGCAUCGGAAAAUGCGUCACCGGCGAUUCUGUGAGCUUUAUCUUCCGCCAUUUCCUCUCGAAUUUAGUAAUGAUGGCUUCGGAAAUUGAUCGGGUUUCAAGUUUCUUGCUUCUCCGAAAAGGAUUAAUCAAAAAUCGGGAGAGAUAUUGAGCUUACGAUUGAACUCAAAGCAAGAGAGCUAUGAAGGGAUAAGUGCCAGGGUGGCUGUAGAAUCGAUGAUAGACAAAACGCAUAGAGAUAUUCCAAGAAAACACUCUAUAGAUAGGAUAGGCUCUUGUCGAAGAUAGGAUAGAGGUAGCGGCAUCGAAAUAUCUCUAUAUUAAAUAAAGAGAGAACAAAUGCGAGUGCGGCAUCGAAAUAUCUCUAUGCAGUGACAACACCAUGUUGGUUGGAGGAAAUGGUAGUGUAUCGAUGAGGCUGGUACUGGUAAACCCACAAAAUUCUCAGCUUGUGACCCUUGAUCUCAACCCAAGUUUUGAGAUCUUCCAUGCAUUUCUCUGCUGCCUCUCAAACAGUCGUGAAUCGGAUCUGAUCUUUUUGUUUCCUGACUCUUGCACCAUUCUGAUAGAUUCGAUAUCUCCAUAAGCGCUGAGACAGUCUCGCAGGUCCUCCUCAACGAGUGUCGUCCUGCUCAGUCGCUUGACGUAAAGCAUCUUCACGGUGGGAUCCUCUGGUGGACAUGCAGGCAUGUUACCGUUUUUCAUCAUGAACGCAACUAGUUCUGGAUUGUCAGAACUGUUAAAACAUGACAAAGAAAGAAGAAUUCAUCAUGUAUGUAUGUAUGUGAUGCAGAAACAUAU